CAGACUUUGGAGCGGAAUGCUAGUGGGAGAGCACAAAUGAGGCCUGAGAACAACUAUCCCCAUCAUUGAGGAAUUAAGGGAAACAAUAGGUGCUAGAACAUGAAACAUGGACAUAUGUCUGCCUUCCCGGUAGGAAGUGGAAAUUUAAAACCUGGAAUUAUUUGCUUUUUGACUCAAUCAUGUUCCUCCCAUUAGGGUAGUAUUCAUUUGCCCAGGGAAGGGAGAAUUCCAAAAGAAAGCAACCAAAUCAAAGGAAUAGACUGAAUUUUCCAAAGAAGUGCUUAAAGUGAAGACACAGUCUUGAAAACUAAGGUGAUGAUGAAAGAACAGUCCUCUUGGAUUUCUUCAAAGCUUUGAGAUUAUAUUUCUUAGUUCUACUGAUAGACAAUGGCCAGAGCUGCUGUGUCACUUCCAGUGCAUGACUCACCAUGCUGUCGAAUGAACCAUCAAAAUGAUAUGGAGAUAUCAGAAGAAGAAAGUGAUCUUGAAUGUUUAGCCACUACAUGAAGGGCUGCCCUGGAGAAAUUCCUAGACUCUUAGCAGAUUUGCCUGAAAUUGUCCAAAUUUCUAUAAUUGAUCUACUCUAUAAUUGGAAUGAAGGAUAUGAAUUCUUUUUGAAUAAGGGAAUACAACGACACUAA
Molecule: long non-coding RNA, 641 nt
Filed under: Ursus maritimus (polar bear)
Lineage: Eukaryota; Metazoa; Chordata; Mammalia; Carnivora; Ursidae
Description: lncRNA (ENSUMAG00000005299.1)
Source: RNAcentral